This 29-nucleotide non-coding RNA is filed under the name Rattus norvegicus (Norway rat). Lineage: Eukaryota; Metazoa; Chordata; Mammalia; Rodentia; Muridae. The record is from RNAcentral.
UCUUAAGCAUUACUUACACUCUGGAUUCC